GGGGAGCCCUAGCACAGGUGCUGCAUGGCCGUCGUCAGCUCGUGCCGUGAGGUGUUGGGUUAAGUCCCGCAACGAGCGCUAACCCCGCCGUUAGUUGCCAGCGGUUCGGCCGGGCACUCUAACGGGACUGCCCGCGAAAGCGGGAGGAAGGAGGGGACGACGUCUGGUCAGCAUGGCCCUUACGGCCUGGGCGACACACGUGCUACAAUGCCCACUACAAAGCGAGGCCACCCGGCAACGGGGAGCUAAUCGCAAAAAGGUGGGCCCAGUUCGGAUUGGGGUCUGCAACCCGACCCCAUGAAGCCGGAAUCGCUAGUAAUCGCGGAUCAGCCAUGCCGCGGUGAAUACGUUCCCGGGCCUU
Molecule: ribosomal RNA, 361 nt
Filed under: uncultured Thermus sp.
Lineage: Bacteria; Thermotogati; Deinococcota; Deinococci; Thermales; Thermaceae
Description: bacterial SSU rRNA
Rfam family: Bacterial small subunit ribosomal RNA
Source: RNAcentral